Molecule: ribosomal RNA, 484 nt
Filed under: uncultured bacterium
Lineage: Bacteria
Description: bacterial SSU rRNA
Rfam family: Bacterial small subunit ribosomal RNA
Source: RNAcentral
AUUGAACGCUGGCGGCAUGCCUUACACAUGCAAGUCGAACGGUAACGGGCCUUCGGGUGCCGACGAGUGGCGAACGGGUGAGUAAUGUAUCGGAACGUAACUUUCAGUGGGGGAUAACGUAGCGAAAGUUACGCUAAUACCGCAUAUUCUGUGAGCAGGAAAGCAGGGGGAUCGCAAGACCUUGCGCUGAUUGAGCGGCCGAUAUCAGAUUAGCUAGUUGGUGAGGUAAAGGCUCACCAAGGCGACGAUCUGUAGCGGGGUCUGAGAGGAUGAUCCGCCACACUGGAACUGAGACACGGUCCAGACUCCUACGGGAGGCAGCAGUGGGGAAUUUUGGACAAUGGGGGCAACCCUGAUCCAGCCAUGCCGCGUGAGUGAAGAAGGCCUUCGGGUUGUAAAGCUCUUUCGGCCGGGAAGAAAUCGUAUGGGCUAAUACCCUGUGCGGAUGACGGUACCGGCAUAAGAAGCACCGGCUAACUACGUG